AUUGAACGCUGGCGGCAUGCCUUACACAUGCAAGUCGAACGGCAGCACGGGUGCUUGCACCUGGUGGCGAGUGGCGAACGGGUGAGUAAUACAUCGGAACAUGUCCUGUAGUGGGGGAUAGCCCGGCGAAAGCCGGAUUAAUACCGCAUACGAUCUACGGAUGAAAGCGGGGGACCUUCGGGCCUCGCGCUAUAGGGUUGGCCGAUGGCUGAUUAGCUAGUUGGUGGGGUAAAGGCCUACCAAGGCGACGAUCAGUAGCUGGUCUGAGAGGACGACCAGCCACACUGGAACUGAGACACGGUCCAGACUCCUACGGGAGGCAGCAGUGGGGAAUUUUGGACAAUGGGCGAAAGCCUGAUCCAGCAAUGCCGCGUGUGUGAAGAAGGCCUUCGGGUUGUAAAGCACUUUUGUCCGGAAAGAAAUCCUUGGCCCUAAUACGGUCGGGGGAUGACGGUACCGGAAGAAUAAGCACCGGCUAACUACGUG
RNAcentral lists this ribosomal RNA (486 nucleotides) under uncultured bacterium. RNAcentral's name for it is "partial 16S ribosomal RNA". It matches the Rfam family "Bacterial small subunit ribosomal RNA", at positions 30 to 507 of the family's 1533-position model. The record is from RNAcentral.